AGUGAACGCUGGCGGUAGGCCUAACACAUGCAAGUCGAACGGCAGCACCGUAAGAGCUUGCUCUUACGGGUGGCGAGUGGCGGAAGGGUGCGGAAUACAUCGGAUUCUACUUUUUCGUGGGGGAUAAUGUAGGGAAAUUUACUCUAAUACCGCAUACGACCUCUGGGUGAAAGCAGGGGUUCUUCGAGCCUUGUGGGAUUGAAUGAGCCGAUGUGGGCUUAGCUAGAUGGCGGGGGUAAGGGGCACCAAGGCGACUAUCGGUAGCUGGUACGAGCGGGUGAUCAGCCAGACGGGAACAGAGGAACGGUCCAGACUCCUACAGUAGGCAACGGUGGAGAAUAUUGGACAAUGGACGCAAGGCUGAUCCAGCCAUACCGCGUAGAUGAAGAAGGCGUUCGGGUUGGAAAGCCCUUUAGUUGUGAAAGAAAAGCAGCAGGUUAAUACCCCGCGGUUCUGACGGUACCCAAAGAAUAAGCACCGGCUAACUUCGUG
This 492-nucleotide ribosomal RNA is filed under the name uncultured bacterium. RNAcentral's name for it is "partial 16S ribosomal RNA". It matches the Rfam family "Bacterial small subunit ribosomal RNA", at positions 29 to 507 of the family's 1533-position model. The record is from RNAcentral.